GGGAAUGUGGCUUAGUGGUGGAGUGCUUGCCUGUCGUGCAUGAAGCCCUGGGUUCGAUUCCUCAGUCCCA
RNAcentral lists this transfer RNA (70 nucleotides) under Dipodomys ordii (Ord's kangaroo rat). It matches the Rfam family "tRNA". From Rfam's summary of the family: Transfer RNA (tRNA) molecules are approximately 80 nucleotides in length. Their secondary structure includes four short double-helical elements and three loops (D, anti-codon, and T loops). Lineage: Eukaryota; Metazoa; Chordata; Mammalia; Rodentia; Heteromyidae. The record is from Rfam by way of RNAcentral.